Molecule: transfer RNA, 74 nt
Filed under: bacterium
Lineage: Bacteria
Description: tRNA-Arg
Rfam family: tRNA
About the family: Transfer RNA (tRNA) molecules are approximately 80 nucleotides in length. Their secondary structure includes four short double-helical elements and three loops (D, anti-codon, and T loops).
Source: RNAcentral
GCGCCCAUAGCUCAGAUGGAUAGAGCGCGGGACUCCGGCUCCUGAGGGCGGGGGUUCAAAUCCCCCUGGGCGCU